GAGCUUGCACACUGCUCCAACAAACGCCAACAAACACCAACAGUUGGGUCAGUGUGGGCCGGCCGUCUGUGUUUGUUGGCGUUUGUUGGAUGGAGUUGUUAGAGUUUGACAUGUCCAGUCUGGUCUGAUGGAGUUGUAGAAUGUCAGACCAAUGUAGCCCAUUUUCCUACAAACGGCAACAUUCUAACAGCUCGAAAUGCUGUCUCUGAAGUGAGUAAUUCCUCAAAAGCUUGAGGAGCAAAACGGGCAAAAUUCGCAAAAGCUGGAGUAUCUUCUGAGCGAAGUUCUUGACACAAGUUAGGAUAGACACCCUGUUUUGCAUGUCGCGAUAUCCAAGGUUUACACCACAGUCUCCUCCUGGCUCGUCUUGAUUGCCGUCUCUCAUGUACACGGCUAGCAGCUUUACAGGCCAGGUAGACCAGAACUACUUUGGCCACAUUCAACAAGGUCUCCACUUCAUCCAUGUUAUAUUAAACCAAAACUCAAAUAAGAAAAGGUAGGACUAGGUGACAAAAGUCAGUCUUGUCUGUUACUGUCUGGGCAGUGUGGACUGGACUGAAAUUUGACAUUCGAAUAUUCGUUUUGGUUUUUUUUUGCACAACCUGGCAUCCCCCUUCAAACGGUUCUCAUUCGCGCUUGAAUAUGUUCGAAAUAUAAUACUCUCUUUUACAAUUUCUUAUAUAGCCUAGCCAUUUUAAUAGGAUAGGACAACCCAACCUCGUUAUACUUAAUAAAUAUAUUUGCUUCUUCUUGGACUACUAAAGUGUUCCUGCAACGGGAGUAUUCUCUGGCUAGAGCGCAGAACAGCGCAGUUUGCAUGGACAGAAGUGUGUGUGUGUGUGUGUGUGUGUGUGUGUGUGUGUGUGUGUUUUAUAUCAUUAGUGUAGUCUCCGUUCUCGGGGCAUAUAAGCCCUGCUCGCGUGAGGCGCGCCGCUUCCUGCUCGCGCUGUUCUGUAGUUUAUUAAAAGUUUAUUAAUUCUGAACGCGUCUGGCCUGUCUAUCUAUAUUGCACCAAAUACGACACUGCACUCCCUUGUGAAGUCGUUUGGAUGAAAGGUUCUCAAAAUAAUCAAAAUGCAAACAAACAGACAGACACAUAGAGAUUCCUGCCUUUAUUAGAGAUAAUAAUAUAGAUUCCAGCCUUUA
Long non-coding RNA from Sander lucioperca (pikeperch), 1146 nucleotides. RefSeq lists it as uncharacterized. The transcript is spliced from 3 exons. The record is from RefSeq and is a predicted model, not a curated record. Lineage: Eukaryota; Metazoa; Chordata; Actinopteri; Perciformes; Percidae.